GCUAAGAGAAUUAUGGAGCUGUGUCCUGAACUGGUUGCAGCACAGGAUGGAAAAGGCGACACUCCAUUUCAUUUAGCCUGUCGCCAUUGCAAUCCUGAAAUGUUAAAGCUUUUGCUUGGUGUCAAUGUCAAAGCCGCACAUAAUAAGAUUAAUAAAAAGAACCAGACUCCACUUUUCUUGGCUUGUCGCCAUGGGCAUCUUGAGCUGGUGGAACUCCUUUUGCAGCGGCCUCAGUUGAUUCAAGUUGAUGGUUUUGAUCAGACUUGUCUUCAUGUUGCAGUUUUGCUGAAAUAUACAGGUUCAAGAAUUUGUACAAUCAAUUUUACUUUAUAGGAAUUAAUUAGUGGGAAAAAGAAGUUGUGAUCACCAUGAAAAUUUUCUCUUAUUUUACCUUAUUUCAUUCACUAGCUCUGCUACUAACUUGUAUAUAUUAUUAAUUACAACUGUUGUUAUGCAGAUAUUGUGGACAUCCUGUUGAAAAAGGUCCCAAAGUUAGCCCAAAAGAUUGACAAAAAUGAAAAUUCACCACUACAUUGUGCUUGUAUCAAAGGAAACUUACGUAUGGUGCAGCUAUUAAUUGGAAAGAGCAGCAGACAAACACACAGGUUGUAUAAUAAAGAUGGCUACACAGCAUUGCACUUGGCAGUGAUGAGGGGGGAUGUUCUAUUUCUUGAA
This 675-nucleotide long non-coding RNA is filed under the name Jatropha curcas. Its description in RNAcentral is "long non-coding RNA (JCUR_LNC001394)". The record is from RNAcentral. Lineage: Eukaryota; Viridiplantae; Streptophyta; Magnoliopsida; Malpighiales; Euphorbiaceae.